This 331-nucleotide ribosomal RNA is filed under the name uncultured bacterium. Its description in RNAcentral is "bacterial SSU rRNA". It matches the Rfam family "Bacterial small subunit ribosomal RNA", at positions 8 to 334 of the family's 1533-position model. The record is from RNAcentral.
AGAGUUCGAUUAUGGCUCAGGACGAACGCUGGCGGCGCGCCUAACACAUGCAAGUCGAACGAGCGAGAGAGAGCUUGCUUUCUCGAGCGAGUGGCAAACGGGUGAGUAACGCGUGAGGAACCUGCCUCAAAGAGGGGGACAACAGUUGGAAACGACUGCUAAUACCGCAUAAGCCCACGACCCGGCAUCGGGUUGAGGGAAAAGGAGCAAUCCGCUUUGAGAUGGCCUCGCGUCCGAUUAGCUAGUUGGUGAGGUAACGGCCCACCAAGGCGACGAUCGGUAGCCGGACUGAGAGGUUGAACGGCCACAUUGGGACUGAGACACGGCCCAG